UUAAUCGUUGAUUGUAUAAAA
Molecule: non-coding RNA, 21 nt
Filed under: Caenorhabditis elegans
Lineage: Eukaryota; Metazoa; Nematoda; Chromadorea; Rhabditida; Rhabditidae
Source: RNAcentral